Molecule: ribosomal RNA, 416 nt
Filed under: uncultured bacterium
Lineage: Bacteria
Description: bacterial SSU rRNA
Rfam family: Bacterial small subunit ribosomal RNA
Source: RNAcentral
ACAGCAGCCGCGGUAAGACGUAGGGCGCGAGCGUUGUCCGGAUUUAUUGGGCGUAAAGAGCUCGUAGGCGGCUUGUUGCGUCGUUCGUGAAAUCCCGUGGCUCAACUGCGGGCUUGCGGACGAUACGGGCAGGCUAGAAUUCGGUAGGGGAGACUGGAAUUCCUGGUGUAGCGGUGAAAUGCGCAGAUAUCAGGAGGAACACCGGUGGCGAAGGCGGGUCUCUGGGCCGAUAUUGACGCUGAGGAGCGAAAGCGUGGGGAGCGAACAGGAUUAGAUACCCUGGUAGUCCACGCUGUAAACGUUGGGCGCUAGGUGUGGGGGGCCUCUCCGGUUUCCUGCGCCGUAGCUAACGCAUUAAGCGCCCCGCCUGGGGAGUACGGCCGCAAGGCUAAAACUUAAAGGAAUUGGCGGGGGAU